UCUAGUCUUUUAUUGACAGCGACCAUUUCGUUUUUACAUCUAUAUUGUUGAAAAUAAAAUAUUUAUACCAUAUCACUUCAUUAUGUUAAUCGACUACCCCUCGUGUCACAACUACUCGUGAAAAACACCUUUUAUACCACGGAGGAUAUGAUGUGCGCCGCAUCAAGCCGAUGACUGCUAGCAAGAUUCUUGAGCAAAUGAACUAAUCAGAAGAUGGACCAUUUUCUGUUCAGUGAGUCUCACCAGUUGAAUUUAUUUAGGUUCAAGAGUCCCACCUGACCAGGAAGAUGCCUAAUAUGAUUUCAGCAUAUCAGCACACAG
This is a long non-coding RNA of Ctenopharyngodon idella (grass carp), 321 nucleotides long. RefSeq lists it as uncharacterized. NCBI's taxonomy places the organism in Eukaryota, Metazoa, Chordata, Actinopteri, Cypriniformes, Xenocyprididae. The transcript is spliced from 3 exons. The record is from RefSeq and is a predicted model, not a curated record.